UAGAAUAAAUUCCUUUAUAUCCUAAUUAUUUAUUUAUAUUUGUGUCCACGAAUCAUCAAUCCCAUCAGUGAUUUUUACUUUGCCUUGGGUUGGUUGAGAUUUUAUUUUCAUUCCUUACCAUCUAAAAGGCUAGUGAUCAUUUUUUCUUGUCAUUGCCACACUUUUCAAUGUUGUUAUGAGAGAUUAAUAAAUAAAUGUUAGAAAUCCUUGGAUAAAAGGUACAAUAAAAGUGUGAACUAUUAUCUUUAACUCUGUCUCUCGGGCAUAUAGUAAAGAUUAAUUAGAUAAGCUUAAGAAAGUGCUAUAAUUGGUAGAAGGAAUUAUCAAAACCCCAGGGAAGGAACAGCUUUGUGUUUGAGGCAUUUGAAAUUGUUCUGAUCUUAAUAGCCAAUGAAUGAACAAUUUCUAAUCUCUAAAGUGUCUCAGGCCAGAUUCCCAGGGAUGGUCCAGACCAGUUCCUAUCAGACAUAAUGUGUGACUGGGGGCAAAAUAAUGAAAAUUUAUGAUAAUAAACUAGGACACAGCUAUGGUUGACAUUCUUGUGAAAUUGAAUAGUAGCUGUCCUAAGCAUGAUUCAAACAACUGCUCCAUAGGUGAUGAGGGGAGACAGAGGUGAGCAGAAGGUAAGCCUGGCAGUUAAACUGUCCUGGAUUCUAGCUAGAGAUCAAAGAGCAGCUGGUCCCAAGUACUUAUUGAAUAGCCACUAAAGACAGGAAAAAAUAAAAAGGAAAGGCAUUGGACCAAAAAACUGAAAGGUCACUCUCCUGUGACUUAUGUUGGACCACUCACAUGACAUAAAGCUAACAGUCUGGGGACACAGAAAUUGUUUGGUGUCCUGCCUGCCUGCAGUGUCUCAUCACCAGAGCAUGCCAGAGCCAACUCAAAGGACUCUGAAGGGAACAGAAUGGAAUUAUUAUAAACACAGGCCAAUUUGCCAAAUGCAAUCCUAAAAAUUAAAUGAGUCUGACAGUGGAGGAUGGAAAUCAGGAACACUGAUCAGUUUGGUUUUCCUCUAGCCCAGAUGGUAAAAUCACAGCAAUUAAGGUAAGAGUGACUGCUAGGGGACAUCAAGCCACAAUGUUUU
This 1084-nucleotide long non-coding RNA is filed under the name Monodelphis domestica (gray short-tailed opossum). Its description in RNAcentral is "lncRNA (ENSMODG00000043777.1)". The record is from RNAcentral. Lineage: Eukaryota; Metazoa; Chordata; Mammalia; Didelphimorphia; Didelphidae.